RNAcentral lists this ribosomal RNA (477 nucleotides) under uncultured bacterium. RNAcentral's name for it is "bacterial SSU rRNA". It matches the Rfam family "Bacterial small subunit ribosomal RNA", at positions 28 to 507 of the family's 1533-position model. The record is from RNAcentral.
GAUGAACGCUGGCGGCGUGCCUAACACAUGCAAGUCGAACGGAGCUGCUUUGAUGAAGUUUUCGGAUGGAUUUAAAACAGCUUAGUGGCGGACGGGUGAGUAACGCGUGGGUAACCUGCCUCACACUGGGGGAUAACAGUUAGAAAUAGCUGCUAAUACCGCAUAAGCGCACAGUUCCGCAUGGAACAGUGUGAAAAACUCCGGUGGUAUAAGAUGGACCCGCGUUGGAUUAGCUUGUUGGUGGGUAACGGCCCACCAAGGCGACGAUCCAUAGCCGGCCUGAGAGGGUGAACGGCCACAUUGGGACUGAGACACGGCCCAGACUCCUACGGAGGCAGCAGUGGGGAAUAUUGCACAAUGGGGGAAACCCUGAUGCAGCGACGCCGCGUGAAGGAAGAAGUAUCUCGGUAUGUAAAACUUCUAUCAGCAGGGAAGAUAGUGACGGUACCUGACUAAGAAGCCCCGGCUAACUACGUG